UGCUGUUUAUUUCCACGUUCAGCAGAUACAUGAGCAUUCAUUUUGACUAGUUUUUGGAUUUUACCACCUGAUGAAUGCAUGUCCAACAUUCACACUCAUGCAGCUGCUCCUGAGGGACAGGCUGUGAGCUGGAACAUUGUUUGUGAAAGGUGUUUUUUUUCUGUGAAAGGUGAACAGACGACGAGGCCUUUGUCCACAUCCGGUUUGAAGUUGAAAGUGAAAGGAGAAAAGACGUUCACAUCACGGCAAGACCCUGUUGGACCAGUUGGAUCUGAAGCGCAGGCUGUAGUCCAGACUGAUCCUGGCUCUGAAAUACACUCAUGACGUCCAGCUGGUAACAUGUCUGAGGGAGAGGACCCUGGGUAACAUCCCCACCUUGCUGGGUCAGACACCUGAGGAGGCUGAGAUUUGGAGCAGGCCUGGAGCACAUCAGUGACAGUAGGAUGUAUAAUCUCGGUGACCCAUCUUCAUGGCCAAACUCCCCCACAAGUUCCUGUGUCACCAGAGGUUGGCCUUAUCGCUGCCUCCCACCUUACUAUAAGACAGGAGAUACUUACGCUCACACUUCCUCUCCAGAAUACUGGUGUGCCACUUGAUGUUUUUUAAUGAAUUUCGUCCUUUAUUUUUCUAAGCACUAAUUUGAGCAUUAAUGGAAAGUUUAUGUUAGAGAGUGAGUUGUGUGAUAAAAAUACUCUGAACCCUGUCUGUCCAGUAAACUAUUGUUUCUCUUUUGCUUUGCAGUCUCUACAGUAAAAAUAGACCUUGAUUAAUAGUCAGCCAUCACAUUUAACUUAUUAUGGCACUCAGAGUAUUUUGAUGGGAAUACUUGUUUGUUAUAAACUUGUUAGAUUGAAGGUUAUUAUCCGCAAUAACCUGGAUAUUGCUGAUUUACAAAUGUUAGUGCUGCAUCAGAGCUGAUUUAUCUUGAUUACAGUUUCACAGCUUGAAUAUUACCCAAUGUUUUAAUAAUAAUAAUCACUGAAGGGUUAGUCACCAGGUGUAGCUGAUACUGUGGAGAUGUGCUGUGUCAC
Acanthopagrus latus (yellowfin seabream) is the source of this 1031-nucleotide long non-coding RNA. RefSeq lists it as uncharacterized. The record is from RefSeq and is a predicted model, not a curated record. The transcript has 4 exons. Lineage: Eukaryota; Metazoa; Chordata; Actinopteri; Spariformes; Sparidae.